CGAUGUCGAUUUGGAGGUUGUGCCCUUGAGGCGUGGCUUCCGGAGCUAACGCGUUAAAUCGACCGCCUGGGGAGUACGGCCGCAAGGUUAAAACUCAAAUGAAUUGACGGGGGCCCGCACAAGCGGUGGAGCAUGUGGUUUAAUUCGAUGCAACGCGAAGAACCUUACCUGGUCUUGACAUCCACAGAACUUUCCAGAGAUGGAUUGGUGCCUUCGGGAACUGUGAGACAGGUGCUGCAUGGCUGUCGUCAGCUCGUGUUGUGAAAUGUUGGGUUAAGUCCCGCAACGAGCGCAACCCUUAUCCUUUGUUGCCAGCGGUUAGGCCGGGAACUCAAAGGAGACUGCCAGUGAUAAACUGGAGGAAGGUGGGGAUGACGUCAAGUCAUCAUGGCCCUUACGACCAGGGCUACACACGUGCUACAAUGGCAUAUACAAAGAGAAGCGACCUCGCGAGAGCAAGCGGACCUCAUAAAGUAUGUCGUAGUCCGGAUUGGAGUCUGCAACUCGACUCCAUGAAGUCGGAAUCGCUAGUAAUCGUAGAUCAGAAUGCUACGGUGAAUACGUUCCCGGGCCUUGUACACACCGCCCGUCACACCAUGGGAGUGGGUUGCAAAAGAAGUAGGUAGCUUAACCUUCGGGAGGGCGCUUACCACUUUGUGAUUCAUGACUGGGGUGAAGUCGUAACAAGGUAACCAAU
Molecule: ribosomal RNA, 697 nt
Filed under: uncultured bacterium
Lineage: Bacteria
Description: bacterial SSU rRNA
Rfam family: Bacterial small subunit ribosomal RNA
Source: RNAcentral